Molecule: ribosomal RNA, 253 nt
Filed under: uncultured bacterium
Lineage: Bacteria
Description: partial 16S ribosomal RNA
Rfam family: Bacterial small subunit ribosomal RNA
Source: RNAcentral
UACGUAGGGUGCAAGCGUUGUCCGGAAUUAUUGGGCGUAAAGAGCGUGUAGGCGGCCAGGUAGGUCUGCUGUGAAAACUCGAGGCUUAACCUCGAGCUGUCGGCGGAAACCAUCUGGCUAGAGUCCGGAAGAGGAGAAUGGAAUUCCCGGUGUAGCGGUGAAAUGCGCAGAUAUCGGGAAGAACACCCGUGGCGAAGGCGGUUCUCUGGGACGGUACUGACGCUGAGACGCGAAAGCGUGGGGAGCGAACAGG